GACGAACGCUGGCGGCGUGCCUAACACAUGCAAGUCGAACGGAAAGGCCCUGCUUUUGUGGGGUGCUCGAGUGGCGAACGGGUGAGUAACACGUGUGUAACCUGCCCUUGACUUUGGGAUAACUUCAGGAAACUGGGGCUCAUAUCGGAGAGGAGCUCCUGCUGCAUGGUGGGGGUUGGAAAGUUUCGGCGGUUGGGGAUGGACUCGCGGCUUAUCAGCUUGUUGGUGGGGUAGUGGCUUACCAAGGCUUUGACGGGUAGCCGGCCUGAGAGGGUGACCGGCCACAUUGGGACUGAGAUACGGCCCAGACUCCUACGGGAGGCAGCAGUGGGGAAUAUUGCACAAUGGGCGGAAGCCUGAUGCAGCAACGCCGCGUGCGGGAUGACGGCCUUCGGGUUGUAAACCGCUUUCGCCUGUGACGAAGCGUGAGUGACGGUAAUGGGUAAAGAAGCACCGGCUAACUACGUG
This 468-nucleotide ribosomal RNA is filed under the name uncultured bacterium. Its description in RNAcentral is "partial 16S ribosomal RNA". It matches the Rfam family "Bacterial small subunit ribosomal RNA", at positions 28 to 507 of the family's 1533-position model. The record is from RNAcentral.